Micropterus dolomieu (smallmouth bass) is the source of this 3089-nucleotide long non-coding RNA. RefSeq lists it as uncharacterized. The transcript has 3 exons. NCBI's taxonomy places the organism in Eukaryota, Metazoa, Chordata, Actinopteri, Centrarchiformes, Centrarchidae. The record is from RefSeq and is a predicted model, not a curated record.
UUUAACCUGUGUUUGGACUUUGUACUCUGCCUUGUUGGAAUUACCCUUUUGUUUGGACUCUCACCUUGAGAUAAGUAGUAAGCCUGUUUUGUUUGGUUGAAAUAAAUCUUUAUUUGAACUGCAACCUCCUCGUCAGUGCAUUUUGGAUCCACAUUCCUGUUUCCCUGUCGUUAUACUCAGCCUACCUGAUACCUUCAGCAAUCCAAAACAGCAUUGCAAGGGGCAGACAGGGCACUACGGAAACUUAAGAGUGGACCCACACCCUGCUGGUUGAAAGAAUGCAGGUUGCAUUGGCUUCACUUUUCAAACACAGAGGUUCCCACUUACAUGGAAGUUUGGGUUACAAGAUUGCAGAAGAGGUCAUGUGUUGCAAGCUGAUUUCCACAGGAAACAAUAAUAAAACUACAGGAGAGAGCCUGCCUAGGAGGUCUGCUCCCCACCUUUGCUGCAUACAGUUGUGGCGAAGCACUGCUUUCCCUGAGUCAUCUUACUGUUUGCCAAAAUUGUUUUGAGGGCAACUAAAGGGCUCUCUCUUUGGCUUCCUACCACACCACAGCUUUUGCUUCUUCUGCCAUAGAGGUAGCAGUUCUAAAGACUGAGUGACACUCAGCCCAUUUAUAAACUUAAAACAGUACCUUUUUUAAAUGCACAAAGGGCAGUCAUAAUGCUACAGCCAAACACCCACUAUCAAUUCCUCUGCCAGAGAAGCCCAUUCAGCUACUGUUGAAUAGGACACACUGAGCAGUUCUCAGUCAAACCAUUUCUAUAGUCAGUCAGUUCUAUAGUUAGCCAUGGCAUUGAGGACCAUGAAGUGAAACAAAAGUAACACUGCUACAUCUUUACUUAAUGUUAUCUGAGAUUAUUGUAACACCACAUUUAGAAAGGUACAAUAAAUGCAAAUCAACAUUAGGUAUGUGCCGGUCAAGCAAAAAUUAUGCCGGCUAAUGUUUACUCAACUCACUUCUGUGAGACUCAACUCACUUCUGUGAGACGCAACUCCAGACAGAAACACUUGGCUAGGGAAGGGUUGGUUGCCCUAUACUGUGUAGAUGUCCAUUAGCUGUGAUCAGCAGGGAGGAGCCAGAUUGACCUGAUUUAAUUGGAGCAGUGGUAUACAUAGAUUCUCUGAGGGACAGUGCCUAACACGAAAAAAGGAACAUCUUUUCCACAGUUCUAGGGUCAAGGCUCAAUUUUGCCCAAAGGUCAUAUGACAACACCAAUAAAGCAAAGCAGAGAGUUCAGCAGUGCACCAGGACUGAUCAGAGGGGCACUUAGGGGGGGUACUUACUGGGGAACAAGGGCUGUAUACAAAGUGUCACGACCUUGGAUUUGAGUGUGGUGUUUUUCUGUUAUCUUGUUAAAUGUCCUUUCUGUUUUACCCAUUGCCUCUGUGUUCUUGUUUAGGUUUUGUUAGUUGAGCAUUGCUUCCUUGUUUUCUGUUGCAUUUAGUUACAUUUUUCCUUGUGUAUUGUCUGUAGCUUUACUUCCUGUUUUGAUGGUGAUGGUGAUUGGUGUUUUUGUCUAGCUUUGUUUCCUGUCUACCUUGAUUCUUAAUGCGUCUCACCUUUGUUUAAUUGCCCUGUCUGCUUGUGUGUGUGGUGUGCCCCUGUAUAUAUUAGCCUCAGUUGUGUUCAGUCCUUGUGGUGUCAUCUUCGUAUGUUGAGUGUUCUGACUCGUGCGCUGUUUCUCUGGAUUCUCUUGGCCUUUUGUUGGAUUUUACCUGUGUUUGAACUCUAUGUGACUCUAUGUAUUCCAAUAAACAUGCAAACUGAUCCAGCCUUGUUUAAUGUCUGCAUUUGAUACCACACCUCUGCUUCCCUUCCGUUGCACUCAGCCUUCCUGAUAGUAUGACACCACCAAAAACUAUGGACCAAGCAGAUACUGUGGUGAAUGAACUGGACCUUUUGCUUUUCGAUUUAAUGUGGUUAAAGGACGAAUGGAGGAAUGCUAACUGUGUUAAGUCCUGGCAAGCAGCCCUGUUGAAAGCACACCGGGAGGUAGUCUUCAAGCCCUGGCUGCGGGGUCAAUUACCACCCGACACCUUGCCUGUUAGCCUCCAGCCAGUUAGCUACCGGCCAGCUUCCCGGCCUGCUAGCAACCAGCUAAUCAGAUUCCACCAGUCUGCCAACAUGCCCGUUUCCCGGCCUGCUUGUGCUCCAGCGGCUAGCCACUAUCCUGAUUCCCAGCCUUCCAGCACUCCAGCAGCUAGCCACCUGCCUGUUUUCUGCCCGGCCAGCUCCACAAUGAUCCACCACUCCUAUGUCGGAACCAGUCUGGCCAUUCAGCCUGGGUCCCUUGGUGGUCACAGGAGUAGACAUGGCCAUCAAGGCUGCCGAGGUCAGCAGCAGCCUCAACCAACCCUUGCCCCAGAGUCUCUACGGCCCAGCCCUACAGCAUCACAGUUGGCUAACCCGCAAGAGUAUUGCCCGGCGCCAGUGGGGUGGUUCUUAUCCAGGCAGAUUCUCAGUCGGCGGACCGACCAACACCAGCUCUGUUGGUGGUCCAGCUGACUUCUGCUCCUUGUACCCUGUCGGAGGACUGAUCGACAUCAGCUCCGUUGAUGGUCCAGCCGACGCCUGUUCCCAGAGUCCAGUCCGUGGUCCGGCCGACUUUUUAGGGACGUCUGGUAUCCAUCCCUUAAGCGUGGGGGGGUUGUGUCACGACUUUGGAUUUGAGUGUGGUGUUUUUCUGUUAUUUUGUUAAAUGUCCUUUCUGUUUUACCCAUUGCCUCUGUGUUCUUGUUUAGGUUUUGUUAACUGAGCAUUGCUUCCUUGUUUUCUGUUGCAUUUAGUUACAUUUAUCCUUGUGUAUUGUCUGUAGCUUUACUUCCUUUUUUAUUUUGUAAUUUUGGUUAUUGGUGUUUUCGUCUAGCUUUGUUUCCUGUCUACCUUGAUUCUUAAAGUGUGUGUGUCUCAAUUGUGUUCAGUCCUUGUGGUGUCAUCUUAUGUUGAGGGUUCUGCCUCAUGCACUGUUUCUUUAGAUUAUUCCCUUAGGUUUGGAAUACCUUGGCCUUUUGUUGGAUUUUACCAUUGUUUGGACUCGGUACUCUGCCUUUCUUGGACUUUACUCUUGAGUUUGGACUACCUUGC